CCUACGGGGCGCAGCAGUGAGGAAUAUUGGUCAAUGGCCGGAAGGCUGAACCAGCCAUGCCGCGUGAAGGUCAGUGCCCUAUGGGCGUUAAACUUCUUUUGUGCGGGAGCAAUAAUGGUCACGUGUGGCCAGACGAGAGUACCGUACGAAUAAGCAUCGGCUAACUCCGUGCCAGCAGCCGCGGUAAUACGGGUGAUGCAAGCGUUAUCCGGAUUUAUUGGGGUUAAAGGGUGCGUAGGCUGUGAGGUAAGUCAGCGGUGAAAUGCCCCCGCUCAACGGGGUGAAGUGCCAUUGAUACUGCCUUGCUGGAAUGCGGAUGCCGUGGGAGGAAUGUGUGGUGUAGCGGUGAAAUGCAUAGAUAUCACACAGAACACCGAUUGCGAAGGCAUCUCACGAAUCCGCGAUUGACGCUGAUGCACGAAAGCGUGGGUAUCAAACAGGAUUAGAUACCCCAGUAGUC
This 460-nucleotide ribosomal RNA is filed under the name uncultured bacterium. RNAcentral's name for it is "partial 16S ribosomal RNA". It matches the Rfam family "Bacterial small subunit ribosomal RNA", at positions 338 to 795 of the family's 1533-position model. The record is from RNAcentral.